This 253-nucleotide ribosomal RNA is filed under the name uncultured bacterium. RNAcentral describes it as "partial 16S ribosomal RNA". It matches the Rfam family "Bacterial small subunit ribosomal RNA", at positions 524 to 776 of the family's 1533-position model. The record is from RNAcentral.
UACGUAGGGUGCAAGCGUUGUCCGGAAUCAUUGGGCGUAAAGCGCGCGUAGGUGGUCAUGUAAGUCCGCUGUGAAAGUCAAAGGCUCAACCUUUGAAAGCCGGUGGAUACUGCAUGACUAGAGUACGGAAGAGGCGAGUGGAAUUCCUGGUGUAGCGGUGGAAUGCGCAGAUAUCAGGAGGAACACCAAUAGCGAAGGCAGCUCGCUGGGACGUUACUGACACUGAGGCGCGAAAGCGUGGGGAGCAAACAGG